Molecule: non-coding RNA, 3903 nt
Organism: Paramisgurnus dabryanus
Lineage: Eukaryota; Metazoa; Chordata; Actinopteri; Cypriniformes; Cobitidae
Source: RefSeq, a predicted model, not a curated record
AGGUGACGAUCUUUUGGGCGGAACCAAAAGUCGGGAAACUUUGGUUCCGCCCGGAUGUUUCCGUCCAGACCGAAGAACGGAAACACCGGACAUCCGGCAGAUUUGCGGAGGCUGUAAUCAGCCGAUUGGGCACAGCUGUGCCUAGUUAAAAGAGAUCGCCAGGCAAUUGGAUAACUGAAGCACAGAAAGGAGUAUUUAAAGCACAGUUAAAUGACAGUUCAGCAGUUCGGGCACGAGAGGGGGAUUGACACGGGGAGAGCUCCUCUGCUUAGGGCAGGAGAGGUAAAUACGUACCUUUUGAAGAGCCCGCAGGCUCUGUUGAUCCGGGCUGCGCUUGAAGCGCGCGGAAAGAAGACAGGAGCUGCCUGGGGUGAAAGAAAGGCGAUACGUGAGUGGAGAAAAGGAGCACCCCGAAGAGAGCAUUGUGCUGUCAAGCUUGUGCUUAGUGUGUGCUGGGAAACGGAGCUGUGCUCAUUUUUGGACGUAGUGGCUGUCUGUGUUUUUCUCUCUCUCUCUCGUUUCAGUCUGUAUUGUGGACCUGCUGGAGUCAAUAGAAAAGCCCUAUGGGUAAGAAGGAACUUUGUUCUAACCAACAUUGAAGGAGUAAAGCAGGAAGAGAUAUUGACCGUUGGUACAACGUAAAUAAAGGCUAUCCGCCGUGAGUAUACCCUUUCUGUGUGGAAUAACUGGCAAAAAUUAACUUGUGUAGCCAUUGGAAACCUCCAGGAAAAGGAGGGCGGCCCUACCCCUACAAGAGUGUGGUGGGCGAGCCGUUAGAAGUACACAUUCAAACAGCCGCCGCAACGAGACUUAUUGUGGUCGUAUUUCACAUCGCCUUAUCGUAGCCCAAGCGCAGUGGAGGACACCGGGCGCUUCCCUUGCUGUGGUGCACUUAUAGUGUGGUGAGUGAGACUGUGUAAUAAAUCUUUUUCACGUUUGGAGUGGUGCUGUGUAUUGCUGUGGGUUGCUGUGUGUCUUGUAGACGAAGCCCCGCAUCAUCCAUUUUCUUCCACUGGGCAGAGGACGGAGAGGCCAACGACUACAGAAAUCACUGUUAUUAUACGUAGUGUGCUGUUUGGAGUACGAAGGGACGCAGACUAAGAGCCGUCCGUGACCGUGAGUAAACCAAUGGAAACAUUCGUGGUGUGAACUUACCUGUGUCUGUUGUGUCGCAGAGUCAGAGGCGAAAGGGUCCGCCGCCCCGGGGUCUCUACGAAAAGGGCGCCCCCGUCGAGGAAUCGAUCGGCCUAUGGGCAUUGGAGAUAGGGCAGCGCUCGACCGGGUGAGGUGGUGUGUGACCUUCGCCCCUCUGCUGACCUACGGAGGAGAACGUGAUACCUACCCAGAAAGUUGUAAACAGCAAAGCCGGUGAGAAAUACUCGAAGUCUCAGUAACAGUGUCUUUGUGUCCUGGCGGCCACCUGUGGAGAGAGAGCAGAACGAAAGUGAACCAUUGAAGAGCAGACUGUGAACGUGAUACCUACCUGAAAAGCUGUAAACAGCAGAGCCGGUGAGAAAUACUCGAAGUCUCAGUAACAGUGUCUUUGUGUCCUAGCGGCCACCUGUGGAGAGAGAGAGAACGAAAGUGAACCAUUGAAGAGCAGACUGUGAACGUGAUACCUACCUGAAAAGCUGUAAACAGCAGAGCCGGUGAGAAAUACUCGAAGUCUCAGUAACAGUGUCUUUGUGUCCUAGCGGCCACCUGUGGAGAGAGAGAGAACGAAAGUGAAUCAUUGAGGAGCAGACUGUGAACGUGAUACCUACCCAGAAAGCUGUAAACAGCAGAGCCGUGGCCUCCUGUGGAGAGAACGGAAAACGAGAAGGAACAUGAGGAAAAUGGACUGUGUGAAGAUACAGUGGUGGUGGAGGAGAGCCUAGAGUGGCCAUUGUUUUAAGUCCCCCGUUCCCCUUCCUUAUUUAAUGCUUUUAAGUAAUUUAAUAAAGGAUAUUUUAAUUUUAUGCUUACCUUGUGUGUCUGGUCAUUGGGGUGGCUUUGGGAAUCUCCUCGAGGUGGAGAAAGGGGCGUGACCUUAUUUACAUCUGGGUCCACCCCUACCUGUGACAGAUUUGGCGUAGUCGGCAGUCCACCUCGGGUUGAGACCAAAGUCCCCCAAUGGCCUACCACAUUUCUUUUAAAGAACAGCUCCCAUCAACACUCCAUCAGUCCCCAAACAACGCGUUCUCGGGACGAGAACGGAUUGGCGGGGGAGGAUGUCACAAGGUGACGAUCUUUUGGGCGGAACCAAAAGUCGGGAAACUUUGGUUCCGCCCGGAUGUUUCCGUCCAGACCGAAGAACGGAAACACCGGACAUCCGGCAGAUUUGCGGAGGCUGUAAUCAGCCGAUUGGGCACAGCUGUGCCUAGUUAAAAGAGAUCGCCAGGCAAUUGGAUAACUGAAGCACAGAAAGGAGUAUUUAAAGCACAGUUAAAUGACAGUUCAGCAGUUCGGGCACGAGAGGGGGAUUGACACGGGGAGAGCUCCUCUGCUUAGGGCAGGAGAGGUAAAUACGUACCUUUUGAAGAGCCCGCAGGCUCUGUUGAUCCGGGCUGCGCUUGAAGCGCGCGGAAAGAAGACAGGAGCUGCCUGGGGUGAAAGAAAGGCGAUACGUGAGUGGAGAAAAGGAGCACCCCGAAGAGAGCAUUGUGCUGUCAAGCUUGUGCUUAGUGUGUGCUGGGAAACGGAGCUGUGCUCAUUUUUGGACGUAGUGGCUGUCUGUGUUUUUCUCUCUCUCUCUCGUUUCAGUCUGUAUUGUGGACCUGCUGGAGUCAAUAGAAAAGCCCUAUGGGUAAGAAGGAACUUUGUUCUAACCAACAUUGAAGGAGUAAAGCAGGAAGAGAUAUUGACCGUUGGUACAACGUAAAUAAAGGCUAUCCGCCGUGAGUAUACCCUUUCUGUGUGGAAUAACUGGCAAAAAUUAACUUGUGUAGCCAUUGGAAACCUCCAGGAAAAGGAGGGCGGCCCUACCCCUACAAGAGUGUGGUGGGCGAGCCGUUAGAAGUACACAUUCAAACAGCCGCCGCAACGAGACUUAUUGUGGUCGUAUUUCACAUCGCCUUAUCGUAGCCCAAGCGCAGUGGAGGACACCGGGCGCUUCCCUUGCUGUGGUGCACUUAUAGUGUGAGUCAGAGGCGAAAGGGUCCGCCGCCCCGGGGUCUCUACGAAAAGGGCGCCCCCGUCGAGGAAUCGAUCGGCCUAUGGGCAUUGGAGAUAGGGCAGCGCUCGACCGGGUGAGGUGGUGUGUGACCUUCGCCCCUCUGCUGACCUACGGAGGAGAACGUGAUACCUACCCAGAAAGUUGUAAACAGCAAAGCCGGUGAGAAAUACUCGAAGUCUCAGUAACAGUGUCUUUGUGUCCUGGCGGCCACCUGUGGAGAGAGAGCAGAACGAAAGUGAACCAUUGAAGAGCAGACUGUGAACGUGAUACCUACCUGAAAAGCUGUAAACAGCAGAGCCGGUGAGAAAUACUCGAAGUCUCAGUAACAGUGUCUUUGUGUCCUAGCGGCCACCUGUGGAGAGAGAGAGAACGAAAGUGAACCAUUGAAGAGCAGACUGUGAACGUGAUACCUACCUGAAAAGCUGUAAACAGCAGAGCCGGUGAGAAAUACUCGAAGUCUCAGUAACAGUGUCUUUGUGUCCUAGCGGCCACCUGUGGAGAGAGAGAGAACGAAAGUGAAUCAUUGAGGAGCAGACUGUGAACGUGAUACCUACCCAGAAAGCUGUAAACAGCAGAGCCGUGGCCUCCUGUGGAGAGAACGGAAAACGAGAAGGAACAUGAGGAAAAUGGACUGUGUGAAGAUACAGUGGUGGUGGAGGAGAGCCUAGAGUGGCCAUUGUUUUAAGUCCCCCGUUCCCCUUCCUUAUUUAAUGCUUUUAAGUAAUUUAAUAAAGGAUAUUUUAAUUUUA